Molecule: long non-coding RNA, 1026 nt
Filed under: Sus scrofa (pig)
Lineage: Eukaryota; Metazoa; Chordata; Mammalia; Artiodactyla; Suidae
Description: lncRNA (ENSSSCG00070013455.1)
Source: RNAcentral
GCCACGACUGGAACUACUAUUUUUUCCUUUUUUUUUUUUUGUGCCCUCAUCCCAUCCCGUACUCAGACCUCCCUCGGCCCCUCCCUCAGCCAGAGUUCCCUCAUUUAUGUUCUUACCCAGAGUUCCCUAUCCUCCCUUACCCAGAGUUCCCUCACUUACGUCCUUACCCAGAGUUCCCUCACCCUCCCUCACCCAGACUUCCUUCACUUACGUCCUUACCCAGAGUUCCCUAUCCUUCCUUACCCAGAGUCCCCUCACUUACGUCCUUACCCAGACUUCCUUCACUUACGUCCUUACCCAGAGUUCCCUAUCCUUCCUUACCCAGAGUUCCCUAUCCUUCCUUACCCAGAGUUCCCUCACCCUCCCUCACCCAGACCUUCCCCCACCCUCCCUCAAUCAUACUUUCCUCACCCCUUUCUUCACUCAGAGUUCCCUCACCUUCUGUGUUUUUUUUUUUUUUUAAUCAAUGGAGAGAAGAGUUACAACUUUCAUCCAAUUUUUGAAAAGCAAUCCAGAACCCAAAAGUGCUCUGCACCAUCAGCUGCCUUUAUCAUCAAAGACUCUUGGGAGACCAGGCUGCUAUCUUGCAAGGCCCGAAUUACAGAGAUGAAGAGGACACAUUCUCUGCCCUUGGGUUACAGUUUAGGAGAGGAAGCAGGAAGGAAUCAUCAAAGGAAUAAUUAUCUAUUUAAAAUUUGGAUCUGGAUGCAAGGUUGGAACUGUAGCUCCUGGAGCCUGAACAGCACCCUCUUUGGGGGUGGGAACAAACAACCAGCUGGAAAAGAUGAAAGAUUACUUGGAUAUUAUGACGACCUAGGGGAUUGGAAUUACUGCAAUUGUGUCAAGCAAGAGUGGGAUAUAUGUGUGUGUGUAUCUCCUAAUGUUGUAUUAUCCUUCUGUUUGACUGUCAAGGGAGCAACUUCUUGCAAUAUCACGAUAGGAUCACUACUGUUGACUAGGAAACUAUCUACAACAAGAGAGUCAUGUGGAAAUGGAGAAAUAACAGAUACCCCUGUCUUCAAAUAA